Quercus robur (English oak) is the source of this 145-nucleotide small nucleolar RNA. RefSeq annotates it as small nucleolar RNA snoR111. The transcript has a single exon. Lineage: Eukaryota; Viridiplantae; Streptophyta; Magnoliopsida; Fagales; Fagaceae. The record is from RefSeq and is a predicted model, not a curated record.
GAAAUGGUUUUAGUGACGAAAUAUUUUCGUCACUAAAUACUGUUUUUAGUGAGGAAAACAUUUAGCGACGAAACGUUUUCGUCGCUAAAAGUUUUUUUUUUUAAAAACAAAUCGGACUUUUAGUGACGAAAUUUUUCGUCGCCAU